RNAcentral lists this unclassified non-coding RNA (314 nucleotides) under Malassezia slooffiae. RNAcentral describes it as "sequence contains ITS2". The record is from RNAcentral. Lineage: Eukaryota; Fungi; Basidiomycota; Malasseziomycetes; Malasseziales; Malasseziaceae.
AAUCUCUCCCCCCAAGUGGUGUUUGUAUAGGACGCUACGCGGCGGCGGAGGUUGGAUGAGCGUCGUGCCUACCGCGCUUGGUAGGCUCGCUCGAAAAGCAUGAGCGCUUGAGAACACUUGUCGCCUGUGAGAGGCAGGCGGGCAGAACAGGUGAGCGAAUGCUUCUCCUCCGGAGAAGCGCCCACCGGUCUGCGUGUGCGCAUGGCAUGAUACGUUCCUUGCUAUGUGUGGCGCGCAAACCCCAUCUGGGUUAGUAGCUUCUUGCUUCUGGCGUGAUCUCGUGUGCGCUUCGAAUCGCACAGCCCUCUCUUCAC